AGGGCUGUUGGAGGACCUUCUGCCCCAUAGAACCUGACUUGGGGUCCUCCAGACCCGUUGGAGGUCCUCCCGCCUGUUGGAGGUCCUCCAGACCCGUUGGAGGUCCUCCUGCCCCAUAGAACCUGACUUGGGGUCCUCCAGACCCAUUGGAGGUCCUCCCGCCUGUUGGAGGUCCUCCAGACCCGUUGGAGGUCCUCCUGCCCCAUAGAACCUGACUUGGGGUCCUCCAGACCCGUUGGAGGUCCUCCUGCCCCAUAGAUGUCCUCUAGGCCCAUAGAUCCUGACUUGGGGUCCUCCAGACCCGUUGGAGGUCCUCCAGACCCAUCGGAGGUCCUCCCGCCUGUUGGAGGUCCUCCAGACCCAUUGGAGGUCCUCCAGAGCCGUUGGAGGUCCUCCUGCCCCAUAGAUCCUGACUUGGGGUCCUCCAGACCCAUUGGAGGUCCUCCAGCCCCAUUGGAGGUCCUCCUGCCCCAUAGAUCCUGACUUGGGGUCCUCCAGCCCCACUGGAGGUCCUCCUGCCCCACACAUUGCCAAUCGGGGUCCUCCAGCCCCAUUGGAGGUCCUCCUGCCCCAUAGAUCCUGACUGGAGGUCCUCCAGCCCCAUAGAUCUCCAUUGGAGGACUGACUUACGAGGUCAUCCUGCCCCACAGGAGGACUUCCCCCAAGUCCUCCAACACCCCAUAACC
Molecule: long non-coding RNA, 686 nt
Organism: Gallus gallus (chicken)
Lineage: Eukaryota; Metazoa; Chordata; Aves; Galliformes; Phasianidae
Exons: 5
Source: RefSeq, a predicted model, not a curated record